This 567-nucleotide long non-coding RNA is filed under the name Hordeum vulgare. RNAcentral describes it as "long non-coding RNA (HVUL_LNC016844)". Lineage: Eukaryota; Viridiplantae; Streptophyta; Magnoliopsida; Poales; Poaceae. The record is from RNAcentral.
CAUCUUCGCAGCAGAACUCUCUCUUCUUCUCUUGCUGCGCAGACUGCCGGCUAGCUACCGGAGAAAGGAACAGCAGACGAGGGGGAAGAGGAGUUGUACACUUGCCCGGUGCUGGUAGGAGUGGAGGAAAAGAUUUCGAUGCGUCGAUUGAUAUAUAGGAUUAUUUCGGGCGGUGGGUGCUGGGCUCGUUUGGUUCGGCGGUUUGGAGGGUAGCGGAGGCGCGGAAGGGAAGGCGUGCCCGCCUCGCUACCUUGGCUUUGCCAUGCCCAUGCCUGCUUGGCCUGCGCCUGUCCGUCGCCUGCCCUGCUACGAUGCUUCGGCGAUUCUGUUGCGGUUUCGUGUGCAUACUGCAAGCCGCUUGGGCAGCUGCACGUGGAUUCUCGUCUCCCUUUGCCUUUUCCACGCUACGGGACGAACCUGCGGCUGGGCACAGCAGUUGUCCUCUGCAUUCUUAUGAAUUCCGGUAACGAUUACCUGCAAAAGAGUAGUUGAUACAUACAUACGUCGCGGACAGGAUGGAAGCGCGUGUGAUGUGCGCAUGCAUGCCUCACCUCAACCGUCGACCAG